This 434-nucleotide ribosomal RNA is filed under the name uncultured bacterium. RNAcentral's name for it is "bacterial SSU rRNA". It matches the Rfam family "Bacterial small subunit ribosomal RNA", at positions 29 to 507 of the family's 1533-position model. The record is from RNAcentral.
AACGAACGCUGGCGGCAGGCCUAACACAUGCAAGUCGAGCGAACCCUUCGGGGUUAGCGGCGGACGGGUUAGUAACGCGUGGGAAUAUACCCUUUGGUACGGAAUAGCCUCGGGAAACUGAGAGUAAUACCGUAUGUGCCCUUCGGGGGAAGAUUUAUCGCCAAAGGAUUAGCCCGCGUUGGAUUAGAUAGUUGGUGGGGUAAUGGCCUACCAAGUCUACGAUCCAUAGCUGGUUUGAGAGGAUGAUCAGCAACACUGGGACUGAGACACGGCCCAGACUCCUACGGGAGGCAGCAGCGGGGAAUCUUAGACAAUGGGCGCAAGCCUGAUCUAGCCAUGCCGCGUGGACGAUGAAGGCCUUAGGGUUGUAAAGUCCUUUCUAGAUGGGAAGGAUAAUGACGGUACCAUCAGAAGAAGCCCCGGCUAACUCCGUG